CGCUCCUCGGUGAUCCCAGCCUGAGAGCAGACCCUCCGGAACUCACAGCCGGGGGCCGUCCCCGCGGGGCACUGCCCGCUCAGCCGGCGCUCUCCACCUGGGCACGGAGUCACGAGGGGAGCGGGAACAGAACUCCGAAAUGCGUCCUGAGGUGUCCUGGGGACGAUAGGUUAUCACUGAAGGCUUUUUGAGGAAAUGCAUCACUGCUGUGAGCCUGGCUUCCUGCAGGACCUGCAUGGGAAUCGUUUCUUCAGCUGGCUUCAUCAUUAGCAAACUUCUUUCUGGUAUGAGCUGGUACCUCCUGAGACUUGUGAGGAGAUGUGGCCCAUCAGAUUGAUCCUUUUCCUGGCAUCAGUAGAAGGAUGUUACAAAAGCACUGACUGUUCCCUUUGGUCUGUUUAAAGACCAAAGAGACAGAAAUAAAAAGCAGUGCAGCAAUGAUUCUAGAAUAUUUUGCAAAUGAGAUGCACUUUGAAGUUUUUUGAACACUGGGACAUGUAAAAGGAAUGCCUGGUUGAGAAAUACUUUGAGCCAUAUGAACCAUAUUGUUUCUAUGAGUAUGCAGAGAGCACAGACUAGCUAAAUUUCAGCCUAGUCCAGCCUCUGAGGGGGGGUGAGCUCUGUUGUAGGCCUUAGAUCGCAGGUGAGAGACACAACAGCAUCACAGAUGACAAUGACAACCUGCAGACAGGUUGUAAUGCUUUUUUUCUUUGGUUUUUUUUUCCUUUCACAUUUAUUAUUACACCACAGUUGUGAUAGUCAUUUUCUU
Manacus vitellinus (golden-collared manakin) is the source of this 769-nucleotide long non-coding RNA. RefSeq lists it as uncharacterized. NCBI's taxonomy places the organism in Eukaryota, Metazoa, Chordata, Aves, Passeriformes, Pipridae. The record is from RefSeq and is a predicted model, not a curated record. The transcript has 3 exons.